GAGUGAGGGCCCUCUGGGUCCAACCUCCCACCCGUGUUUAUUUACCUUGUUGCUUCGGCGGGCCCGCCUUAACUGGCCGCCGGGGGGCUCACGCCCCCGGGCCCGCGCCCGCCGAAGACACCCUCGAACUCUGUCUGAAGAUUGUAGUCUGAGUGAAAAUAUAAAUUAUUUAAAACUUUCAACAACGGAUCUCUUGGUUCC
Molecule: unclassified non-coding RNA, 201 nt
Filed under: rhizosphere metagenome
Description: partial ribosomal RNA internal transcribed spacer region
Source: RNAcentral